CUUAGGGUCAGCAACGGCCACGCCAGGUGCCUCUCCCUCCAGGUCCGUGUGCAUCACUGCCCCAGAGUCCGCGUGGCCCAGCCGCCCGCACCCCGGCCCAGGCUGGGCGCUCGCAAUGGGUCCUGGGCUCCCGGAGUCCCGCACCCGGAGGGCAGGCAGCCGGCCAGGAGCGCCAGCUCGCCUCAGAGUUGGUGGGAGUCGCGCUUUUGCCCAGGUUGGGUUGGAGGGCUCUGCCUGAGAGGGCGCCCCCGCAGAGCCGGCCUCUUAGAGUCGCUUGCCUCGCACCUCCUUUCCUCUUUUCCUUCCAGUCUCUGCCGCUUUUCCCACCAUCAGAGAUUCAGGAAGGGCUGUGAAGCAGCUCUGCCGUGGGCGACCACGACAGACAAGGACCUGCCCCCUAGAACUCACCUUCUGCUGGGGGAGAGGCAGGACCAGGAACACCCCUAACUGCACAGCUGCAGUCUGUGAGAAGGGCAAGGAAGAAGCCAGAGCGGGGUGGGGGUACAGUGAGGGGCGGGACCACUUUAGAUAGGCCUCCGAGGAGGGGGUGUUUACGCUGACCGUGAACGAGAAGAGGGAGCCCGUCUUUGGAUGAUCUGGGAGAGAGCUUUCCAGGUGGAUGGAACAGCAAAGGCAAUGGCCGCGAGGGCACGAAGGGUUACCCAGAGCUGUCCACGCCGUUUGUCCAUUCUUCCCCUUGAGAUGAAAAGGCUUAGAUUUGCAAGACAACUGGCAUUCUGCCUUCUUUCUGUGCCUCCCUCUGCCUGGAAUGAUCUUCCCAUAGGCUUCCACAGAACCGGUUCCUUCAGGUCGCCGUCAAUGGUCACCUCAGGACUCCGGGAGCCGGGAGCCGGGCGCAGCCAGUGAGGCUGAGGUGUGCAAAGGGACAACUUUCUUUAAGUCUUUAUUUUAAAAGUUGGUAUUUUGCUCACCAUGGAUUGGUUUUGCACUAAAUUUGAUUCUUAAAAAAUAUCAUAUCAAAAUUUUAUUUAUCUUGAUUCCUGAGCUUUUUGGCGCCUCCUUAAAUUUCACCCCCAGGCGAGAGCCCCACCGGCCUCAGUCCAGCCCCAGCUCAGCUCCUGGUCCAGGGUGCUGUGGACUGGGAGUCAGGAGACCUGGCUUCUGGUCCAGCUUGUGCCACUAGACCAGCUGUGUGACUGAAUGCAUGUACCCUCGGCGCCCUGAGCCGCUCAGCUGCACCAUCUCUCCAGGGACGGGCUAUUCCUGGCUCUAGUUCUAGAAUGAUCCAAGACACUCCUUAGAACUCUGAUAGGUUGUGUAUUGUAUGCAUCUCCUGGGGGCUUUGGGCCUGUUUUAGGCCUCUGACUCUGGCCAUUAUGUCACCGGCCUUUCCCCAUCCCAUGUGAGGUGAUCCUCUGUGCAAACACCACAUCUUCGUGGCUGCUUUGUGCAAUGAGCGUUGAUGCCCUUGUCGUUUUCCCCAUCCUGGGGGGAGUUUCAGUUUUGGAGGUGUGGUCGUGCCCUUUAUUCUUGCUUCUUGCUCUUUGGUUCCAAUCACUGGAUCAUGUGACACACCUUCAUUAGGAAGCUUCCCAAAUGCCAAGUGCUGAGCAACCACUCAGGAUACAAAAGAAACCUGUCCAGCCCUGGAAGAGCUGACGUUCUAGCGAGGGAGCCAGCACAUAAGCAGACCCGUGUGCUGAGAGAAGUGUGCCCGGGGUAGAGGACGUCCAGCUCAGUGAAGGUCACCUUGAGAGGACGGUGCACUGUCCUUCCUCCUGGGGGGACCCUGCAUCCUGGGGGCUGUCUCCAAGUGCCAGCGGCCCAGAGCAGUGGGCAGUCACCUUCCUAAUGGACUCUCCGCCAUAGAGAGCUGUGGUGUGACAUUUUGCAUCCACACUUGAAUGGGCGAAGCUCUGAGUUACAGCUUUCAGUUCCUUCUAACUCCCCAUCUCCCUCCAUCCCUCCUCUGGAUUGUGGCUUGUUCCUCAGUUGUUCCUAGUUCUGACAACCCUCAAAACCUGUUUCAAAGUGCACCUCCCUCUUUCAGUUCUCCUCCGCUGCUCCAGCCCUCAGGGGACUCUUCUCUCACUUUUUUUCCAAAGCCUUUAUCAACUAAUAGACCUUCUGCCUGGAGCUUAAUUAAGAUCGGUCCAGAGUUUCUUGUUGCUUCAGCAAAGCCGGAAUGUAAUGGUUCUUGCAGGGAGAGGGCACUUGCCUGGCAGUCAGUAACAGCUGGGAGGGCUCUGCUCCUCCACUCAGAGGGUACAAACAGAUGUAUCUGGCUAGCCUUCUGUGUUUUAAAAAUAAUGAAUUAUGUGCCAAUACUUGAAAAUCAGGAGAUCUCAAAUAAAACUCUGGGUUUUCGGCUUCCCUUGAAAACUUAGAAGUUGUGCCAACCCUGAGCCUACAUUCCUCCCUGGCAAAAAUUGGCUAGAUCUGGUAGCACCUUUUUCCUUAAGUGGGGCAUGGGUCUUCCAGUUUGCCACAAUCCCCACUACUCCUUAAUGUCUAACAUUAGGCUCCCUUUACUUAUCUACUUUACCUUCCUGGCCCCUAGAGGAUUUUGAGAUUUUAAUCCCUUCUAACUUUUUUCUUUAAGAGGGUAGACAGCUCAUCAGAGCACUAUGCACUGGCUGAUGCUUAGCAUGGCCCAAAGGGAGGCUGGGCAUCACUCUGAAAAUUGUUGGGGAGGUGGGGAGGGGACACUUAGGAGGGUGCUUGCUGUGAAUCAGUCUGAAGAGUCUUAGUAUCAACGAACUCCAGUGUUGGAACUUGGCUGCUACCAUGCUGCUUUACCUGGACAUGUAGAGAUAUACUUAGUGUGAACAUAAAACAAUAAAUUUAUAAAAAUUAACUAACUUAUCAAGAGCACUUACUAUGUGCCAGAUACUGUUCUCAGAUUUUUACGUUUAAUUUCACAAUAACCCUGUGUGGUCACCACUGUUACUUCUCCCAUUUUAGAGACAAGGGACCUGAGACGCAGGUAGGUAACUUGCUCGGGAAUGCACAGCCAGAAAACAAGAGGCUGCAAUUGCACCAGACACAGAAUGCCUGGAACCUGGAUUUUACCAGGAUUGGAGGUACCGGCAGGUGAUGGGUUUUUCUAUUGUUGUCUUCUCUGCAUCAUCCAUUUCCUGGGGCUGUAAUCUGUUUCCCUCCUGCCAGGAGGCUGUGAAGUUUGAGGCUUCCUUCCCUUGGCACCGGGCUGAAGUUAGCUGGCCCCCAGCUCUGCUACUGUAGGCUCUUUGAUCUGGAGACACACUGGACUACACGGCUUCAGCAAGAGGAGGACAGGGGAGGGCUGGGGCAAGAAAGCAGGGGCUUUGCCAGCCCAGACCAGGUCCCCUCAGACAGCCCAGGGAUCCCAGAAGUGCAGGGCCCACCUGCCAGCCCCUGGGCAUGAGCUCGUAGCCCCUGUGUCCCCACGUCUGAGGUCAGCGCCCGGAUGCUGAGCUCCGAGCAUCCGUCUUGCUGCAAUGGAAGAUUUGAAUCCCCUUGUCGUCACUUUGCAUUGCUUCUGGGCUGUGUUCCCUCUUAUUUCAUUUUCGUCUGAAAUCCUGAGCUCACCCUCCUCGGCAGCUGACGGGCCCAUUUAUUUCCAAGGCUGCAGCCAGUCGGAGGGCUGCCGACAGCUCCGCGGAGCGCUCUGGGUUUGUGCCACCUCGUUUUGUUCCUGCAGACAGGGCUGGGAGACCAGAGAACAUCUUCAUUUUGCAGCAGCAAAGCUGUCAGAGCCUUCAGCCUCAGCCCUCAUCCUCUUGGGCCUGAGAUGCAUUUGGUUUGCCCUAGAGGGCACUGCCCGGGUUGACUCUGUCCCUUGGUCUUUCGUCCUUUUGGACUCAAAACCUUGAGAGCGUGCAGCCUGUGCUUUGCAAAUGUCCUGUCAAAUGCCCCUGAUUUGUCACAGUUGGAACAGCUCCUAGAGAUCGUGUUGUCAGAUCUUCUCGCAGUGUUCAGAUAAUGAAACAAAGCCCAGAGAGGGCAAGAGACUCAUGGGGAAUUGCACAGCAAGUGAGAGGCAGAACAAAACUGACAGGCUCCGGCCCCAGCCAUUUCACAUUAUUCCAGUCCACCUCUUCAGAAUCUCAGAAGGCCAGCCUCAAGGGACUCCCCUCACGAGGCAUCAUCUACCUGCAAGGCUCCUCCGCCAGCACUUCAGGGCACUGCUGCUCCUCCCCUUCCGGCCUCAGCUCAGAUGUCCCCUCCUCAGGGAGGCCCGCCCCUCCUGCCUUGUCUGAAGCACCCUCCAGUCACUCUCCAUCACAUUCUCUGACAUCCUCCAUUGUUUUGUCCUCAGAGCUCUGAUCAGUACCUGCAAAGAUCUCCUAUCAGAGUUUAAUUUGCAUUUUUGUUGUCGCUCCCACCAGAAUGCGAGCUCCAUCUCCCACCAGAAUGCGAGCUCCACCAGGCAGUGACCGCGUCUGUGUCUGUCUCACUCGCCUCAACCUCUCCAGUAACCUCGCCAGUACCGGCACACAGAGGCGCCCCGCAUGUCUGCGCAUGUGGAGUGAAGGGAUGAAGGGAUUUCAGGGACUUCCAAUGGUCCCUAAACAAGAGCACAGUUUUCAGUAAGGAAUGCAGAUUUAAAUGUCUGUGGGAUCACUUUCAUUUGCUUUAGAUAAGAUAGAUAAGAUUUUAUUUGUGGAAACAAAGUCUACUCCUAAAGAUGCUCCGAGGCCAUAUGUCUAGUGCCCCUUUUAUUGGCGCAUGUGACCCUGUUUGCUGAGCUCCGGGUCUGUGCUCUGCCCUGUGACAGGCACCGGACACGCAGAGGUGAGGAGAAGCAGGGGGAGCCAGGAUUCUUCUCAAACCGGCUUAAAUGCAAAGAAGAAUCGAUUGGUUUGCUUGGUCAAAAAGUCUAGGGGUUGGUCUGCCCGACUGCAAAGCCCGUGUUCUUUAAACACGGCUUUAGCAAAUUGUGGUAUAAUUUAAACAGAGUGAAACGCACAGAUCUCCAUAUACCUAUCAAGGUACAGAGCAUUUCCGGGACCCCAGGAAGUUCCUUCCUCUUCCAGUUAAGCCCCCUUCCCUGGCCCUGUCAUCCCAGGGGCGACCCCUGUUCCAGUUUCUUUCAGCACAGAUCCACUUUGCGUCUUCUGGAAUUUCACGCGAAUGGAAGCUUACGGAGCGUCCUCUUUGGCGUCUGCCUUCUUUUCCUCAGCAUCAAGCUCCACGCUCAGCAUCCGUGUUGAGUCUCCUGUCUUCUGCCGGCAUCCAUAAAACUGCGGUGGGCUCACUUGCUAGCUUGCAGCUUUAUUCCCAGGGUCUUGCACAGUGCACAGUAGCACACACAAGAUGCUCAAUAAACAUUUGUAGAGUGAAUGACUGGAUGGUUGAGAGAAUGAAUUCUUGUUGCCUUGGUCCCACUGUCUCUUCCUCAAGAAGCAAUCGUGGAACCGAAUGACUGGCUUGUUGUCCCAGCUAUUUGCAGGCAAGCUCCUGGGAGCCGUCUCUGCUUUGUGCUGGGCUGGCUCUCAUCUUCCUCCUCAUCCUCCCCCCCACCCCCGCCCCCCGUGCUUCUCCUACACAAGUGCUGCUGAGAGCACUUCAAGUGGAGGGAAGUUCCUCUCCUUUUCAUCUGCCAGCUGCUUGCUUGAGGUCAAGGAUCUCCCUCUCCACUUUACAGAAGAGGAAACAGGCCCCAGAGGUGAAACUCUCAUGUAUCUCUUGCCCUGGGUUUGGCCAUUUGCCGUCCAGUCUCAGACGGGGCCAGGAGCUGGGGCUUUUGCCCUCAUAGCCCACCAGCCCCUGGAUAUCAAGAGGGUGGGAUGUGGGUAGAACGCAGAAGUAUCUCAAACUAUUGACGACAGGGUUGACCCACAGCAGCAGUUCAGUUAGUGCUCAGCAGAGUCCUGGCUUUAGAUGGGCAUCAUCCUGCUGGGGGAUCCUUGGGGGCCUCUGAGCGGCUGCCAGUGAAAGGCCCUUGUUUGGCUCUGAACAGUUCAGGGGGUUACUUACUUGCUGGCAGGGGGUCUGCAAGGGUGGGCUGAGCUUCCAGAGCUCUCGAUGCUGACUUGAAUCCUGUUCUUGGUCCUGCCAAGUCCAGUCCCCUCGGUCGCCCAGUCUCUUCCAGCCACGCCUGGGAUGGGGGUCUCUGGAAAUCUCUCUGUUCUCUUUUUAUAUCAUUAUUAUGGCGUACACUUAAUGCCUGUUUCCCUUGGCGCCUCCCAUUUAUUUUCAAGAGCUUCCUUUGAAGUAAGAAAAAAAAAAAGGAAUGUUAUCAAUUUCUCCUUUCAUUUCUGCUGAAACAAUUUUAAUUCUCUCCCACUUGGUGUGGAUCCCUCUGAUUUAUCAGGGCAGAGUCUUGUACAGGAAGGAUGGGUGGAGAAGGCAAUGAGAGCACAAAGACUUAUAUUUCAAGAUAGUGCGUUGUGGCAUUUAGAAACUGUGGGGUAGAUUCAGGGCUGAAUUGGGGCUCCCAGGCUAAUGCUUUUCUCAGUACUUCAGGUUACAUCUCUGGUCAAGUCAGUGACUGUUUAUUAAGCACCUACUGUGUGCCAAAUGCUUUGUUGACUCACGGACCCUGAGUGCUUAAAAGCUAUGCUUUCUUCUCAGUGGUAAAGCUGUAAGUCUUGCAUCUCCUUUCAUAUGGACUGGAAUGAAAACUCUUUUGGGGAAAAGGAAAAAAUUAGCUUUCAGUGGUGGUAAUAGUUUGUGCGUUCAUCAAUCCACACAUUUACUCAUUUUUAAACAUUCAUUGAGCACCUGCUGUGUGCCAAGCCUUCUACUUGAUCUGGGGGAUAUGGCCUUGGCCGUGACAGGGAGGGUCUCUGUCUUCAUGCACUUUGAAUAUUCUUGUGUAGAGGGGCAAUAAACAAAGACACACGUAAGGACAGACAAUGAUAAACAAAGGGAGGAAAAGUAAAGGGAGUGAAGGUUUAAGAGCGAUGGAGGCAGCUCUGGGAAAGUGACGUCCAGGGCUGAGUACGCUCAACUCAUUCAGUAAUCACUUCUCGAAGGGCUCAGAGCUGAGUCGCAGAUCCUUCCUCCAGGCAGCUUGUCUCUCACGCUCUUUUUCUACUAGUAACGGAUUCGCUGGGCUGAGCCAUGGCUGCCCUCCCCUCUUCUCUUUGGCUCCUGCCCCACCUACGCUGCCUUAAAUCCAGUCCAUUCCCUGGGGCCAUCCAUCCCUUUGUGCCCUGGGCCAUCCCUUGAGCAUGUGGUCUAGCUGCUUUGCUAUUGCUCCAACACAACAGGUGUCUGGAAAGUUCUUCCCCAAGAUAUCUGCACGGCUUGAUCAUUCACUUGUUUUUAGGUCUUUGCUCAAAUGCCACCUUCAAGGGGAAGUCUUUCCUGGGCCCCCUAUUUAAAAUUGCAACAACCCCACUUCUACUCCAGACCUCUCCAUCCUCCAUUUUGUUUUCUUUUUCUCCUAAUGAGAGCACUUGAGAGGACCGAUGACCUUCAGUUGAGGGACCCAGGCAGCCUGCGGCAAUGGUGCUCUCCUCCGUCCAUCUUGCUGAGGCUCCCAAUUGGCCUUGCCCAAUCAGAAGAUGGAGGCGUGUGUGUGGUGGCGAGAAGGCGGAGAAUGACAAGGCCUGAACUUGAACUUCAGCUCCCGCACUUACCAGGUGUGUGACUUUGGACAUAUCACCACACCCUCUGAGGCCAGAUACUCAUCUGUUAAAUGCAGCUAAAAAUCCCUGCUCUGCAUCCUCUCUGGAAGAUUGUGAAGAUUCCAGGAGUUUCAGGACGUGGAAAUGCUUUGCAAACAGCACAUAAAACUUGGAUAAAACUGGUUGUUUUAAUCUCAGCCACCAGUGCGUGUUUCCACUGUUGACUCAGAAAUUCCAAGUCUAGACGCAGAACGGGUAACUGGUCGCCAUGAAGACCUGGGGAUGACAGGGGUUUCCAGCCCAACCGAUGUACUUAAAUUGGCUUCUGAUGGAAAAAUCCUGAAGAUCCCAGGCGUGGGUGGCCGUUCUGUUACCCAUCAGGACACAAGGUACCCAGUUGUUGCUGGGGGCCUAAGACAAGGUCUUGAUUCCAGCUUCAUAAAUGCUUCAAGGAGCGAUCUGUUAUCCCUCGUUCCUCCCUGCCUCCCGCCAAAGGGAGCUCUCUCCGAGGGUGAGGGGGGAUGGCAGCAUCGUGGCCCCGGCGGUGUGCUUCCUGUAAAGCAGUAGGAAACUGCAGACCCUCCUGUCUUGUUUGGGGGCUCAGGCGCCAUUCUACAGCAGACAGGAGACACCCCACGGCGGGAGCCCUGUAGCCCUGGCUCCGGGGAAAGCAGAGGACACCACCUGUGUCGCCAAGGCAUUUAGCCACGGAGAGGGCAUCUCUUUAGCGAUCUGGGCUGGAGCCCAGCAUGAGGUUGGCUGGUGGGCACGGCGCGGCUCCUUGCUGUGAGCUGGCAUUCAGGGCCGAGCACAGUGCCAUGUACCGGGCGCAGGGUUAGAGGUGGUUCUCAGCCACCGCCUUGCCUGCUGUCGGUCUCGGGCUUUGAAGAGUCAAGAACCGGAUUGGUUCUUGGGGGUGGGGAAGAGGCCCUCUUCUUUUUGUUUGGCAGCUUCCACUCCGUUCUCAUUUCCAGCGAUGGGGUACCGAGGUUCAGUGGCUGGAACUCUAGCCUGGGCAAAGGGACCCUGAGCAUUUGUCUCAGCUCCUCCCCUCCCUGAUAUCAUACCUUUGGACAAAUUGUUUCCUUUUCUCGGCCACAGUUUACCCAUCCUAAAAUGAGGGACUUUUUCUGUGAUAUGAGAUGUUUCUUCCAAUUUGAAUAGCUUGUGUUUCUAGGCAGGGUUUCUCAACCUGGGCACUAUGGACAUUUGGGUCAGGAUCAUUCUCUGUGCUGGGGGCUGUCCCGGGCAUUGUAGGAUGUUUAGCAGCAUCCCUGGCCCCCGCCCACUAGAUGCCAAUAGCACCCGCCCUGAAAGUUUCGACAAACAAAAAUGAUUCCAAUGAAAAAUAGCAACGAAAAUCCUCUGGGGAUCAAAACUGUGUCUGUUGAGAACUACUGAUUCAGGGUGUAGGCUAAAGAUUUUGCAGUUGUGGGAAGUGUUUCCCCGGGUCUUACUCUGGAGGGUAAAUUAUUGUCGUUAUUGUUGUUAUUGGCUAUUCAACACACGCAGAUAUAUAUAUGUUCAUGUAGAUACAUAUCUAUACGUAUGCUUCCAUCCUCACAUCAACUUCUUCCCUCUUGUGUCCAUGUCUCUGUGUCCUGAUCUCCCUUUCCUUCCUCCUACAAAGACACUAGCUUUAGGACCCGCUCUAAUCUGGUGUGACCUCAUCUUACCUUGGUUACAUCGGCGAAGACCCUAUUUCCAAAUAAGGCCACCUUCACAGGUACCAGGGAUCAGGACUUGAACAGAUCUUUCUGGGGGACGCAAUUCAACCGGGUACCAAGGCCAGGACUGAACGGCCAUGGCCAAGGGGGAAUGAGAAGAAGUCCCGCUGCUCUGUGAGAAUCACGCCCACUUUCUGAUGUAACAGCCCCAGGAAGGGCAUCUUCAAUUCCAGUUCCACGGUUCCAGCAGCUCCGGUGCACACACCCUCAGCCCUCCUGUCUCUCUCCCUCUGUCGAGUUCGUCCAGCAAAACCCUGACCCUGAUUCCAUCCCGCCGUCCAGAGCCACGCCCAAGCUGGACAGUGCCGGAUAAAAACACACAACUGUGUCGAGGGUCUCUUUACAUUUUUGCGUACAAACCUUAAGUGGACCCUCGGCAGCGCCCAACAGUCCCAUUCCACCUCCUCGGUCCCGUCAUUCUCCUGCUCAGGAGUACUAUUUUCCAUUCUCUCCUCCUUCCUCAGCCUUCAGCACGCUCUCGCCCUGCUUCCUCUCAGCGGAGGACGUGGCUUCUGAUUUCACUGAGAAAACGGAAGCACUCAGAAGAGAACUGUUUGCUUGCCCUCAGCAUACCUGCGUCCAUAGUCACAUCCUCCACCUUUUUCUCCACUCCACCUACAUCCAAGCUUGCUUGUGUCCUGGAACCCACCCCUUUCCUGGAGGAUUUCAUUCCUGCAUUUAUCUCCUCUCCAUCUCUUGCGUUGUCUCCCUGAAACCCACAAUAUCAAAAUGAAAACCUCUGCCUAUAUGCCUUGCCGCCUCUAACCACCAUCCCAGUUUCGUGCUUCCCUUGACAGGGACCCCCUUGAGUUGUACGUACCCAAGCUUCCAGUUCCUUCCCUGCCCGUUGCCUUUUGACCACGCCACCGAAUCUGCUCAAGAGAAUUGCCAACAGUCUCCAUCUUGCUAAACCCAGUGGUCCCUUCUCAGUCACCUCCUUACUCAAACUCUCAGCAGCAUUCGACACAGUCGAUCUUGUCCUUGAAUACACUCUUCUUGGCUAUGGGGACCUUCGACGCUCCUGGCUCUCCCCCGGCUCCCUGGCCGCACCUCCGCAGCCCUCCUGGCGGCCCAUCCUCUUCCUCCUGACUCCUGAAGGUUGGAGUAAACCACAGCCUCCUUUGCCUUUUGUCUCUCUCCUGCCCCACAUCCACGUACAGCCCUGAAGUGACCAUGUUCAGCCCGAAGUCUUAGAAGACCACCUAUAUUUGGACGAGUCCUAAAUUUACGUCUACAGCAUUGAUUCUCUUUUGAUGUCCAGACUCAUUUGUGUACCUCACAAUUCAACAACUCUGCUUAGAUGUCGCGGAGUACCACUGGUCCCCACCUCCUCCCGCAGGUCACUCCUGCCCGUCUUCCUCACCUCUUCCUCACGUUAAUGUUGUGAGCCUAAAAUCCUAGGAGUCAUCCUCGCUUUCUCCCCUCCUCCAUCCCAUAUCCAGUCCAUCAACCAGUCAUAUUGGUUCUCCUUUCAAAAAAUCCAGAAUCUAGCUUCUCAUUGCUCCACUGGCCCCUCAAUCCAGACCACCAUCACGUUCUGCCUGGAGGAAUGUAGCAGCCUCUCAGCUGGCCGCCCUGUGGCCUUUCUCCCCUCCUACAAGUCACUCUCCUCCCUGAAGAUGGAGGCAUCUUCUGAAACCUGAUUCAUAGCAUGUCAUCUGCCUGCUUAAAAUCCUUCAUUGCAUCUAGAAAAAAAAUCCAGGUUCCUUCCCGGGUGUCUGGUGGGGUCCUGCCUCCCUCUCCGUCCUUCUCUGGUCACUCUCUGCCUGUCCAGCACACCACAUGGGACUUCCUUCUUCGCCUUGAACAGGCUCAGGGCUCUGGCCCUCAGCGCUCCCUCUAAGACCUUCCAUGGCUGCCUCUUUUCUGUUCUUUGUGUCUCAGCUCAAAUAUCAUCUCCCAGCAGAGGCCUUUCCUGGUGGUGACCACUAGUAGUCUGAAGCUUCUUCAAUUUCUGUCAUGACAAGAUGUCCCAGACUCGUCUUGUGUAUUUCCUGCUCCAGACCUAGAAUCAGUCAUUUCUCUAAGGGGCUCUGGUUCCUUUAUUGGGAAAUGACACCUGGAGACCAUGAUCCAGGCACCAGGGUGCUCAUUGUAUGAGGUUGGUCAUUGCUGCCAGGUCUUUUCAGAAGAUAGAGUCAGGAAAUGUUACUUUAAAAUAUUACUUUAAAAAAUAGACAGGGCCUGGCCCUGUGGCUGAGUGGUUAAAGUUUCACACUCUCCUUCAGUGGGCCAGGUUCAUGGGUUCGGAUCCUGGGGGUGGACCCACUUCAUUCACUAGCCAUGCUGUGCAGGUGUCCCACAUACAAAAAAAUAGAGGAAGAUUGGCACAGAUGUUAGCUCAGGGCUAAUCUUCCUCAAGCAAAAACAAACAUACACAUAAAAAACGGCCAGCCCCAGUGGCCUAGUGGUUAAGUCCAGCACGUUCUGCCUUGGCGACCCGGGUUUGGUUCCCAGGCGUGAACCUACACCACUCCUCUAUCAGUGUCCAUGCUGUGGGGGCAUCUCACGUACAAAACAGAGGAAGAUUGGCAACAGAUGUUAGCUCAGGGCCAAUCUUCCUCAGCAAAAAAACCCAAAACAUACAAAUAAGUUGUGAUUUCUUACUUCAAAUUCACAACUACCGAGUUUUUGCUUGACGUUGUUAAUUUUCCAUUGUCUUUCUUCUCUUGUGCCAAAAACCUCAUUCUUUCAACAAAAACAUAAUUACUCAUCUUCUUUAUCCCGUUACACACACACCCAGCCUCACAAUCGCAACACUGACAUUCUUCUCAACAAUAUGAUUACUAAAAACAGUUUAAGAUUCACUUGCAGUCCUUUUUGUCCUUAGAAUAAGAGAAGUCAAAAUACUGUAGUUUCAAGUCACCCAGCUUCCUUCGUCUCUGGGUGGCUGUGCCACCAACUGUGUCCACAGAGCCUUUUGCUUCAAUUUGUUUUCAUUUUUUGGGGAUUGCUUUGUGAAAACUUAACUUUGUCUAUAAGUAUGUAAAACAUUUGUAUGGUUCCUGUAGUAGGCUGAAUAACGCACCCCCCAGCACCCAAUAAAGAGGUCCACUUUCUGAUCCCUGGAACCUGUGAAUAUGUCACCUUAUGUGGCAAAAGGGACUUUGCUGAUGGGAGUAAGGAUCUUGAGAUGGGAGAUUAUCCUCGCUAAUCCAGGUGGCCCCUACGUAGUCGUACGGGUCCUUAGAGGACAGAAGCAGGAGUGUCAGAGUCAGGGAGAAAAAGUGAUAAUGGGAACUGAGGUCAGAGAGGAGGGAAGACGUUACCUUGACAGCUUUGAAGAUGGAGAUGGGACCCGCAAGCCAAGGAACGCACGCGGCCUCUAGAAGCCUGGGCAUGGAGCUCCUUGGAGCCUCCAGAAGGAACACAGGCCUAACAGCACCCUGAUUUCAGCCUGGAGAGACCCGUUUUGGACUUUGAUCUUCAGAACUGCAAGAGAAUAAAUUUGCAUUGUUUUAAGCCGCAGAACUCAUGGUAAUUUGUAACUGCAGACAUAGGAAACUCACACACUUCCAAAAACCAGCUCUAACGUUUAUUCCUGCCACCUCCACCCUAUUCCACCCUUCCCCUGUGUUCUAGAGGUCAGUCACAGCAGGAUGUGGAGGCAGCCCUCAUUCCCUUUAAUGGCUGUAUAGAAGUCCAUCGUGUGCACGUAAUGUCUGUUAUUUAUUGGUCUCCUUUUGGUGAACACUGG
Molecule: long non-coding RNA, 12944 nt
Organism: Equus caballus (horse)
Lineage: Eukaryota; Metazoa; Chordata; Mammalia; Perissodactyla; Equidae
Source: Ensembl